CCUACGGGAGGCAGCAGUGGGGGAUAUUGCACAAUGGGGGAAACCCUGAUGCAGCGACGCCGCGUGGGCGAAGAAGUAUUUCGGUAUGUAAAGCCCUAUCAGCAGGGAAGAAGAAAUGACGGUACCUGAGUAAGAAGCACCGGCUAAAUACGUGCCAGCAGCCGCGGUAAUACGUAUGGUGCAAGCGUUAUCCGGAUUUACUGGGUGUAAAGGGAGCGCAGGCGGCACGGCAAGCCUGAUGUGAAAGCCCGCGGCCCAACCGCGGGACUGCAUUGGGAACUACCGGGCUGGAGUGCCGGAGAGGUAGGCGGAAUUCCUAGUGUAGCGGUGAAAUGCGUAGAUAUUAGGAGGAACACCAGUGGCGAAGGCGGCCUACUGGACGGUGACUGACGCUGAGGCUCGAAAGCGUGGGGAGCAAACAGGAUUAGAUACCCCAGUAGUC
This 442-nucleotide ribosomal RNA is filed under the name uncultured bacterium. RNAcentral describes it as "partial 16S ribosomal RNA". It matches the Rfam family "Bacterial small subunit ribosomal RNA", at positions 338 to 795 of the family's 1533-position model. The record is from RNAcentral.